This 420-nucleotide ribosomal RNA is filed under the name bacterium. RNAcentral's name for it is "partial 16S ribosomal RNA". It matches the Rfam family "Bacterial small subunit ribosomal RNA", at positions 355 to 776 of the family's 1533-position model. The record is from RNAcentral.
UGGGGGAUAUUGCACAAUGGGCGAAAGCCUGAUGCAGCGACGCCGCGUGGGGGAUGAAGGCUUUCGGGUUGUAAACCUCUUUCGCUAUCGAACAAGGCCCGCUUAGGGUGGGUUGAGGGUAGGUGGAGAAGAAGCGCCGGCUAACUACGUGCCAGCAGCCGCGGUAAUACGUAGGGCGCGAGCGUUGUCCGGAAUUAUUGGGCGUAAAGGGCUUGUAGGCGGCUUGUUGCGCCUGCUGUGAAAACGCGGGGCUUAACUUCGCGCGUGCAGUGGGUACGGGCAGGCCUGAGUGUGGUAGGGGUGACUGGAAUUCCAGGUGUAGCGGUGGAAUGCGCAGAUAUCUGGAGGAACACCGAUGGCGAAGGCAGGUCACUGGGCCAUUACUGGCGCUGAGGAGCGAAAGCAUGGGUAGCGAACAGG